CAUGAACUCAACCAGUUCCUUCCUGGCCAGUUUCCCAUUCAAAUGAAGGACCAUGUCCUUCCAACCUUGAGAUUCUAGAGAUGCUAGAAGCCUCAUCAUGCCUGGCUACUCCAGGUCUUUCAGCAGCCUGCCCUUCAGAAUUUUUCUUUUGCCAAAAUUGACAUAUCUAUCUUGCUUAUUCUCAGAAUCAUCAUAUCAUCUUCUUCUUCUUCACUCUCUUCUUCUUCUACAACCAUUUUCACUUAUUUUCCUUUAGAGGCAGAUCUUGUUCUUUUUACAAGGGAGGACUAAGCAGGUACAGGCUUUGAG
This 309-nucleotide long non-coding RNA is filed under the name Nicotiana benthamiana. RNAcentral describes it as "long non-coding RNA (NBEN_LNC008698)". Lineage: Eukaryota; Viridiplantae; Streptophyta; Magnoliopsida; Solanales; Solanaceae. The record is from RNAcentral.